Molecule: ribosomal RNA, 1209 nt
Filed under: Opisthosyllis leslieharrisae
Lineage: Eukaryota; Metazoa; Annelida; Polychaeta; Phyllodocida; Syllidae
Description: SSU rRNA
Rfam family: Eukaryotic small subunit ribosomal RNA
Source: RNAcentral
CAAUGUAUGGUGUGGCGGUUAAGAAGCUCGUAUUUGGAUCUCGGCGGGCGGGGGGCGGGGCGCCGAAAGGCUGCACUGCCCAAUUCUUUCGUCCAGCGUAUGUGUUUGUCGGAGGCCCGCGGGUGCACUUCACCGAGUGUCCGCGUUCGGCGCCGGAAGGUUUACUUUGAAAAAAUUAAAGUGCUCCAAGCAGGCUUUGUACGCCUGGAUAGUCGUGCAUGGAAGAAUGGAAUAGGACGUCGUUUCUAUUUUGUUGGUUUUCGGAAAUCGACGUAAUGAUUAGUAGGGACAGUCGGGGGCAUUGGUAUUCAGGCGACAGAGGUGAAAUUCUUGGACCGUCUGAAGACCCACUACUGCGAAAGCAUUUGCCAAGAAUGUUUUCAUUAAUCAAGAACGAAAGUUAGAGGUUCGAAGGCGAUCAGAUACCGCCCUAGUUCUAACCAUAAACGAUGCCAGCUAGCGAUCCGCAGCUGUUUUUCAUGUAGGCUCUGCGGGAAGCUUCCGGGAAACCAAAGCUUUUGGGUUCCGGGGGAAGUAUGGUUGCAAAGCUGAAACUUAAAGGAAUUGACGGAAGGGCACCACCAGGAGUGGAGCCUGCGGCUUAAUUUGACUCAACACGGGGAAUCUCACCCGGCCCGGACACCGUGAGGAUUGACAGAUUGAGAGCUCUUUCUUGAUUCGGUGGGUGGUGGUGCAUGGCCGUUCUUAGUUGGUGGAGCGAUUUGUCUGGUUAAUUCCGAUAACGAACGAGACUCUGGCCUGCUAAAUAGUCCUCCCCCCGCCAAUGGAGGGGAGCCAGACUUCUUAGAGGGAAAAUCAAGGUCUACUUGAACGAGUUGGAGCAAUAACAGGUCUGUGAUGCCCUUAGAUGUUCGGGGCCGCACGCGCGCUACACUGAAAGAGGCAGAGGGUCGAGUCCUGGUCUGGCAAGGCUGGGCAACCCGUGCACAAACUCUAUCGUGCUAGGGACUGGGGCUUGCAAUUUUUCCCCAUCAACGAGGAAUUCCCAGUAAGCGCGAGUCAUCAGCUCGUGUUGAUUACGUCCCUGCCCUUUGUACACACCGCCCGUCGCUACUACCGAUUGAAUGGUUUAGUGAGGCCCUCGGACGGGCCCCGGGCCGGCCCUCGUGGCCGGCCGUCUGGUGCUGCCUGAAAGACGGUCGAACUUGAUCAUUUAGAGGAAGUAAAAKUCKWAMCARGGUUUCCKUA